UACGAAGGGGGCUAGCGUUGUUCGGAUUUACUGGGCGUAAAGCGCACGUAGGCGGAUUGGUCAGUUAGGGGUGAAAUCCCGGAGCUCAACUCCGGAACUGCCUUUAAUACUGCCAGUCUAGAGUCCGAGAGAGGUGAGUGGAACUCCUAGUGUAGAGGUGGAAUUCGUAGAUAUUAGGAAGAACACCAGUGGCGAAGGCGGCUCACUGGCUCGGUACUGACGCUGAGGUGCGAAAGCGUGGGGAGCAAACAGG
RNAcentral lists this non-coding RNA (253 nucleotides) under uncultured Alphaproteobacteria bacterium. Its description in RNAcentral is "contains 16S-23S intergenic spacer region". It matches the Rfam family "Bacterial small subunit ribosomal RNA", at positions 524 to 776 of the family's 1533-position model. The record is from RNAcentral. Lineage: Bacteria; Pseudomonadati; Pseudomonadota; Alphaproteobacteria. RNAcentral also lists the same sequence under 1 other name.